UUUAAGUGCAAUUGUAAGUUUCCACUCCCAACUUUGAUCUUUCAUCUUAUUUUAUUUUUUUUAUAAUUAGUAUUUUUAUUACUAUGAGAUGAUAAAAUAUGAAUAGUACUUUAUACGUAACUUAUGUUUUUAUUUUUUUAUUUUUUUUUUCAAAUAAGACGAUGGUCAAAGUUUUGCACGAAAAAUUAUGGCUGCACUUAAA
MicroRNA precursor from Oryza sativa Indica Group (long-grained rice), 202 nucleotides. It matches the Rfam family "MIR812 microRNA precursor family". The record is from Rfam. Lineage: Eukaryota; Viridiplantae; Streptophyta; Magnoliopsida; Poales; Poaceae.